This 325-nucleotide long non-coding RNA is filed under the name Elaeis guineensis (African oil palm). RNAcentral's name for it is "long non-coding RNA (EGUI_LNC076484)". The record is from RNAcentral. Lineage: Eukaryota; Viridiplantae; Streptophyta; Magnoliopsida; Arecales; Arecaceae.
AUCACCAUGAUGACUUGUAAAUAACUCAUUGUGCUUUGGUGCCGAAUUAUCUGAAUUUUUAAUUCAGUGACUGAAAGAUUUUUGGAUACAGUCAAGUACUUGUUAAGUCGAUGUGUGAGUCAAGAUGGGAUUGACCCCUCCGGAUUCAAGAGUUAAUGCAUCACUGUAUUUUAGUUUAGUAAAAUUUGGAUCCGGAUAAUCCAUAUGAUGGAUUCAAAAGAUUGAAAUAUAAUGUGGAUGACUAUUCCAGGAUUGACAGUUAAACCUUAGGUUACCUUGAGCAUUAGGGUUAAAGGGAUGAAUUAUAUAGUAAUCAUACACUAGC